Small nuclear RNA from Apodemus sylvaticus (European woodmouse), 105 nucleotides. Lineage: Eukaryota; Metazoa; Chordata; Mammalia; Rodentia; Muridae. The record is from RefSeq and is a predicted model, not a curated record.
GUGCUCUCUUUGGCAGCACGUAUAUCAAAAAUGGGAAUAAUAUAGAGAUUAUCAUGGUCCUUGCCCAAGGAGGACACACAAAUUCAAGAAACAUCCCACAUUUAA